UUUAAUCCCACAUAUAUUUAUAUAAAUAUAUUAACAUACUUAUUAUUUAGCUGAUGAUUUCAAUAUAUAAAGUCUUUUAAUACUGUCUGAAGUAUGUUUUGAGAUUUUUUUUUUUGCUUUCAGUACAUAUUCCUUGCAGGAUUAAUCUGUGGAAAUUUUACCAGAUCUAGAUUAAGAGAGAAUUUGAUUUUGCUUUUGUCCAGUAUCUGGGGGCACCAUCAUCUUGGAAUAAUUUUAAAUUAAAUUCUUGGCUUGAGGCUUUCCCCUCCACCCAGGAAAGUGAUUUGGCCUGCACAUUUACAUGAGGGCUGACUUGCAGUUAUAAAUUCUCAGGGCAGACUUCUUUCCCCCUUUGUUUAUUUGGUGCCCUGGAUCACUAGGGGUAACUUUCCUUUCGAGGAACAGUAAAGGCUUUUGGGUUCCAAGUUUUUGCAGAAGGUUGUUAUCAGAAUCCUUACCUUGCGGGGUGCUGGUGGCUACGCUUUCUCUUGCCCCAGUGCUGAAAGUCUUCAAAACUGAAAUGUAAGGUCAAUGAAUUAAAGCCACUUCCUACUGCUUAUUUCUUUGUGUUCCCUCUUUCACUUACAUUUUGGCCUCUGAGAAGUCUUUGCUUUCUUGCCAGGGCUUGGAUACAUUUCAGAAAUGUAAAAAUAUAUUCUAUCCAUUAUUUUUAGUUUGUUUCAGCAACAGAAUUGUUGAAAGAAUCUCUUCCCCCAAACUGCUAUAAACAGAAGUUGCUAAGUAUUUUCUAUGGAUUCAUUUAUUUGGACCUCCCAAACUUGUCAUAAGAGAUAAAGUAAUCUGCCUAAAGUCAGAUAGCUAACAGCCACGGAAGCCCUAGUCUGGCAGGAAAGAAGAGUCAUUAGGCAUCAUCUGGCAACUUGGCUUGGAGAAGUCAGAUCAGUCACCAAGAGUCUGGUGGGGCUGCAGCAAUGGCUAGAAAGAACCAGUGACAUGAUUGCCAGAUAGAGUGGUCAGAGAAGACCUUUCUGAGGCCAUGGUAUUUAAGAUGAGACUUGAAGAGCAACAAGAAGCUAGACACACAAAGCAGAUAAUUUUUUAAUGGCCAUUUCUGGAGAGAAGUUUCCAAGGGAUGAAGUUAUUAUACAGUUUCCAAAUAUUCCUGAAGAGGUCUAAAGAAAAUGUAUUCUGAUUCCACCUUUUACCUGUUUUCCUUUUUUUUUUUCUCUCUCUCUCUUUUUGGAAUUUGUUAUUUGGAUAUAGGAUACACUAGGCUGGUGCUCCAAUUUUCUUAUAUUUUCUGUUUUCCUUGAAGUUUUAGGGGACUUUCUGAACUUUAUUUUUCAAAAUUCAGUUGAGUCUUUAUUGUUUUCCAAAUAUCAACAUUUCUUACCCAGACUAAUGAACUAGCCUACUCACUCAUCUUUCUGAUCCUAUUCCUCUAUAUUAUCCACCCCAAUCCCAAGUUAAUUCUUGUAUGGUCUUUUUGAAAGACUGCAUGAGGUUUUUUGUUUUUAUUUCUGCUUAAAUUAUUUGCUGAUUUAUUUGCACUUAGGAUACAGGCCUAAAUCCUUAGCUUUGCUGACAUCAUGAAAGAUGUGGGCCCUCCCUAGCACUCCAGUUUCAUCUUACAUCAUGCCACUCUUUGGUACUUUAUCCUUACUGUCCAGCUUCAUUUCCUAGAGUGUCCUGUGACCCUCUUGACUCAGAGCCUCUGCACGUGCUGUUCCCUGUGUUUGUCUCCUUUGUCCAGCUCUACCAACUUCCUUUAUCUCUCAGUGUUCAGGUGUCAUCUCAUCUCCAGCAUGAAUUAGAUGUCUUAUCUUGUGCUUCUCAUUGGGCUAUACUGUAAUGCUUAGCACAUUAGUCAGUUCCCUCAUUGCUAUAAAGAAAUACCUGAGGCUGGGUAAUUUAUAAAGAAAGGAGGUUUAAUUGGCUCACAGUUCUGCA
RNAcentral lists this long non-coding RNA (1911 nucleotides) under Homo sapiens (human). RNAcentral's name for it is "HSALNT0348342". Lineage: Eukaryota; Metazoa; Chordata; Mammalia; Primates; Hominidae. The record is from RNAcentral.